GCAGGUGUGGCGAAACUGGCAGACGCGCUAGAUUUAGGUUCUAGUUCCGAAAGGAGUGCAGGUUCAAUUCCUGUCACCUGUA
RNAcentral lists this transfer RNA (82 nucleotides) under Oscillospiraceae bacterium. RNAcentral's name for it is "tRNA-Leu". It matches the Rfam family "tRNA". Rfam says of the family: Transfer RNA (tRNA) molecules are approximately 80 nucleotides in length. Their secondary structure includes four short double-helical elements and three loops (D, anti-codon, and T loops). Further hydrogen bonds mediate the characteristic L-shaped molecular structure. tRNAs have two regions of fundamental functional importance: the anti-codon, which is responsible for specific mRNA codon recognition, and the 3' end, to which the tRNAs corresponding amino acid is attached (by aminoacyl-tRNA synthetases). tRNAs cope with the degeneracy of the genetic code in two manners: having more than one tRNA (with a specific anti-codon) for a particular amino acid; and 'wobble' base-pairing, i.e. permitting non-standard base-pairing at the 3rd anti-codon position. The record is from RNAcentral. Lineage: Bacteria; Bacillati; Bacillota; Clostridia; Eubacteriales; Oscillospiraceae.